UACGUAGGGGGCAAGCGUUGUCCGGAUUUAUUGGGCGUAAAGCGCGUGUAGGCGGCCAGGUAGGUCCGCUGUGAAAACCCGAGGCUCAACCUCGGGACGUCGGCGGAAACCAUUUGGCUAGAGUCCGGAAGAGGAGAGUGGAAUUCCCGGUGUAGCGGUGAAAUGCGCAGAUAUCGGGAAGAACACCCGUGGCGAAGGCGGCUCUCUGGGACGGUACUGACGCUGAGACGCGAAAGCGUGGGGAGCAAACGGG
Molecule: ribosomal RNA, 253 nt
Filed under: uncultured bacterium
Lineage: Bacteria
Description: partial 16S ribosomal RNA
Rfam family: Bacterial small subunit ribosomal RNA
Source: RNAcentral